AGUAAUCCCGCUGAGGCCCGAACCAGAGGCGGGCGGGGACAUCCGCGCCGACGCGGCCGCGGGCGCUGGGACGGCCCUCACUGGCGGUCUUCGGUCUCCGCCCCGACAUCCGGCUCCGGCCACGUGGUGGGCGGACCGGGGCGGUCCUGAGCCUGCGACCUCCCAGGCGACCUCGCUGGACCCUAAGUCCAGGCCACAGUCAGGAAAGGGCGCUGAGAGGUGAGCGUGAGCCCAGCGACAGGAGAGUGAGCUCACCAUGUGCAGCGCCAUGACCAGCAAGGGUCCCGAGGAGGAGCACCCAUCGGUGACGCUCUUCCGCCAGUACCUGCGCAUCCGCACCGUCCAGCCCAAGCCUGACUACGGUGAGAAGACGGUGGUUCCAGAGCCUGUGACGGGGCCUAAGGGACGGGGACUGUGCUCUAAACCAGCCUCCAACCCCUGUCACCCAGCUGAGCCCCACUCUGCUGUACCAAAUGGCUCCCCAACCCCUCCAGCCAUUCCCCAAGUAAACAGACUGAGGCAGCCCCUCCAGGUUAAGGAGGAACCCUUUCCCCAGAGGCUCUGCUGCUGACCAAGGUUACUCCUGGCAGCUGGUUAAAGAAAAACUUCACCUCACUCUCCAGGGCAGGAGUGGUGGGGGAAGCCUGAGGCAGCCACAGGGAAAGGAGAGGCCCUCCAGAAGUCCACUGGGGCUGGACAAAGGCCACAGCCCUUAGGGAAUCAAGCUUGGUGGCUAGGGCCUUUGAGGUGGCUCCUGCCUGUUAUCCCAGCACUUCAGGAG
RNAcentral lists this small RNA (781 nucleotides) under Pongo abelii (Sumatran orangutan). RNAcentral's name for it is "retained intron". Lineage: Eukaryota; Metazoa; Chordata; Mammalia; Primates; Hominidae. The record is from RNAcentral.